This 26-nucleotide unclassified non-coding RNA is filed under the name Mus musculus (house mouse). RNAcentral describes it as "oocyte_clustered_small_RNA11377". Lineage: Eukaryota; Metazoa; Chordata; Mammalia; Rodentia; Muridae. The record is from RNAcentral.
UCACCAUCAAGGGGAGCCAAGUUCAA